RNAcentral lists this ribosomal RNA (433 nucleotides) under Hydropsyche naumanni. Its description in RNAcentral is "partial 28S ribosomal RNA". Lineage: Eukaryota; Metazoa; Arthropoda; Insecta; Trichoptera; Hydropsychidae. The record is from RNAcentral.
AUCAGGGGUAAACCUGUGGAACUCGAACGAGCGAACGGGGAGAUUCAWCGUUYUCYGUYGGGUCCGCGGAGGGGCGUUGACGUCGUGCAUUCGUGURYGGCGCUCGUYUCWYYGYGMGAUCYGCRGAGUGCGUGCACUCCUCCCUCAGUAAAACACCGCGACCCGUUGCGGGUGGGUCGAACGCGCCGUGCGAGUGUCCCGCCUCGAUUCGUCGAGGCGGACUCGCGGCGUCGCGGCUCACGUGCGACGGUAAAGAACGAGGYUUGCGUCCGCUUCUAGCGUCCGCGUUGCGGCGGCUGCGUUCCUCGHYCGGUCUCGGCGCGCAAGCGUCGCGGCCGRCGAGCGAGCGYYGCGUCUGCUGCAUCGGCUCGGACGGGACGCGUCCCGGUCUGCGGUGGUUUGUUUCGGGCACUCACAGGACCCGUCUUGAAAC